Molecule: ribosomal RNA, 587 nt
Filed under: Rhodotorula alborubescens
Lineage: Eukaryota; Fungi; Basidiomycota; Microbotryomycetes; Sporidiobolales; Sporidiobolaceae
Description: partial large subunit ribosomal RNA
Rfam family: Eukaryotic large subunit ribosomal RNA
Source: RNAcentral
ACUACUGAUUCCCUAGUAGCGGCGAGCGAAGCGGGAAGAGCUCAAAUUUAUAAUCUGGCACCUUCGGUGUCCGAGUUGUAAUCUCUAGAAAUGUUUUCCGCGUUGGACCGCACACAAGUCUGUUGGAAUACAGCGGCAUAGUGGUGAGACCCCCGUAUAUGGUGCGGACGCCCAGCGCUUUGUGAUACAUUUUCGAAGAGUCGAGUUGUUUGGGAAUGCAGCUCAAAUUGGGUGGUAAAUUCCAUCUAAAGCUAAAUAUUGGCGAGAGACCGAUAGCGAACAAGUACCGUGAGGGAAAGAUGAAAAGCACUUUGGAAAGAGAGUUAACAGUACGUGAAAUUGUUGGAAGGGAAACGCUUGAAGUCAGACUUGCUUGCCGAGCAAUCGGUUUGCAGGCCAGCAUCAGUUUUCCGGGAUGGAUAAUGGUAGAGAGAAGGUAGCAGUUUCGGCUGUGUUAUAGCUCUCUGCUGGAUACAUCUUGGGGGACUGAGGAACGCAGUGUGCCUUUGGCGGGGGUUUCGACCUCUUCACACUUAGGAUGCUGGUGGAAUGGCUUUAAACGACCCGUCUGAACCUUUCACAAAAAA